AAACUUUGUCCACUCCUUACGGGGGAGACAGUCAUGAGACGUGAGUAUAAGACCUGAGUGUAAAGACCUUAGGGUGAAGCAAUUGGAGGGCAAGCUUUGGUGCCAGCAGCCGCGGUAACUCCAACUCCAAGAGUGUCUAUGGUGGAUGCUGCAGUUAAAGGGUCCGUAGUCGUGAAUGCAAUUAAAUGUCGUUGUUCAAUAGCGAUGAGUUUGCUAAUGUUUGCGGAACGGAUAGGGAGUGUAGUAUAGACUGGCGAAGAAUGAAAUCUCAAGACCCAGUUUGGACUAACGGAGGCGAAGGCGACACUCUUAGACGUAUCUUAGGAUCAAGGACGAAGGCAGGAGUAUCGAAAGUGAUUAGACACCGCUGUAGUUCCUGCAGUAAACUAUGCCGACAGCCUGUGUGUGAGAAUACGUGGGCGGGAGAAAUCUUAGUGUUCGGGCUCUGGGGAUAGUACGCUCGCAAGGGUGAAACUUAAAGCGAAAUUGACGGAAGGACACUACCAGGAGUGGAUUGUGCUGCUUAAUUUAACUCAACGCGGGAAAACUUACCAGGGUCAAGUCAUUCGUUGAUCGAAUACGUGAGAAUGGCAGGAGUGGUGCAUGG
RNAcentral lists this ribosomal RNA (607 nucleotides) under Enterocytozoon bieneusi. RNAcentral's name for it is "SSU rRNA". It matches the Rfam family "Microsporidia small subunit ribosomal RNA", at positions 295 to 908 of the family's 1311-position model. The record is from RNAcentral. Lineage: Eukaryota; Fungi; Microsporidia; Enterocytozoonidae.